UGUUACGUUGUUUGUUUUUAUCAUGACGUAUUUUUAUAAAUAAAUUAUCACCUCAAUAUGUUACAUAUAUAAAUAUAUGUAAUAUUUUGGGGCGUUCAUUUUGGUAGCCGUAAAAUAAAAAAGCCAUUCUGAUGGGAAAUUGUUCUUCAGUGCCGAUAAAGGUACUCAUAGUUGGACCAGUUAAUGCAGGAAAAACUUACUUGCUCUAUGCAAUGAAAAUGGGAGUUGACAAAAUCAUUGCUCCAAGACCAACGCAAAAGUACAAUGUCGAGAUCAUCAUUUCCCCUAAGUCUCAUAUAAGGUUCGUGGUCUAUGACAUUUGUGGAAAAGCGGACAAGCGUCCACAUCAGAAAAACUUCUAUAGGGGAACUCAUGGGGUCAUCCUCGUGGUGAACUGUUCUGACAGCGCUAACAUAGAAGAGGCCAAGAAGGACCUCGAACAAUUGGUGGGAGCUGUUGAAUUGCGCACAGUUCCAAUCUUAGUAGUAGCAAACAUGGUGAAUACUCCAGUGGGACCUCCCUGUAUUUACUGGCCUGCAUGACGGUACAUAAGUCUGCGCAGCAAACAUUAAAAACAAGCACUUCUGUCGCUAAUAUUCACAGAAACAACAACAGGUGAUGGAUCCGACUUUUUGCGUACAGGUUAUACUAAACCAAAUA
RNAcentral lists this unclassified non-coding RNA (660 nucleotides) under Gigantopelta aegis. RNAcentral describes it as "aDP-ribosylation factor 6-like, transcript variant X1". The record is from RNAcentral. Lineage: Eukaryota; Metazoa; Mollusca; Gastropoda; Neomphalida; Peltospiridae.